UAUGUCUACGGGACGCAGCAGUCGAGAAUCAUUCACAAUGGGGGAAACCCUGAUGGUGCGACGCCGCGUGGGGGAAUGAAGGUCUUCGGAUUGUAAACCCCUGUCAUGUGGGAGCAAAUUAAAAAGAUAGUACCACAAGAGGAAGAGACGGCUAACUCUGUGCCAGUAGCCGCGGUAAUACAGAGGUCUCAAGCGUUGUUCGGAAUCACUGGGCGUAAAGCGUGCGUAGGCUGUUUCGUAAGUCGUGUGUGAAAGGCGCGGGCUCAACCCGCGGUCGGCACAUGAUACUGCGAGACUAGAGUAAG
Molecule: ribosomal RNA, 305 nt
Filed under: uncultured bacterium
Lineage: Bacteria
Description: bacterial SSU rRNA
Rfam family: Bacterial small subunit ribosomal RNA
Source: RNAcentral